AGAGUUUGAUCCUGGCUCAGGACGAACGCUGGCGGCGUGCCUAACACAUGCAAGUCGAGCGGGGAGAGAUUUUCGGAUUUCUCUUUAGCGGCGGACGGGUGAGUAACACGUGGGUAACCUGCCUCAAAGAGGGGGAUAGCCUUCCGAAAGGAAGAUUAAUACCGCAUAACAUCGAAGCACUGCAUGGUGCUUUGAUCAAAGGAGCAAUCCGCUUUGAGAUGGACCCGCGGCGCAUUAGCUAGUUGGUGAGGUAACGGCCCACCAAGGCGACGAUGCGUAGCCGACCUGAGAGGGUGAUCGGCCACAUUGGAACUGAGACACGGUCCAGACUCCUACG
This 337-nucleotide ribosomal RNA is filed under the name uncultured bacterium. RNAcentral's name for it is "bacterial SSU rRNA". It matches the Rfam family "Bacterial small subunit ribosomal RNA", at positions 8 to 343 of the family's 1533-position model. The record is from RNAcentral.